Molecule: unclassified non-coding RNA, 166 nt
Filed under: soil metagenome
Description: partial internal transcribed spacer 1
Source: RNAcentral
CAGGACUCGCAAGACUCCCGUAAACCACUGUGAACUUACCUACACCCGUUGCCUCGGCGGGUGCUCCGGGCGCGUCUUCGGGCGCUCCGGGGCGCUCCAGCCCGCCGGCGGCCCCUAACUCUGUCUCUGUAACGUUGGCAUCUCCGAGCAGACUAUAAACGAGUCA